UGAUUAUUUUCAAGAACAAUUUUGAAGUAUGUGUUCCUGUGACCACAAUUUUAUCCAUUGGAAUCAAUGGCUUCCAUUCAUCCUGAUUCCUUCAGUGGUACAAAUGGACAAAUAAUUGCAUGAAAAAAGUUGUGAAAAUGGAAAGGCAUUAAUAUUUCAAAAGGACCCUUAUUCUUCUGUUUCAUGAAAGGAUCCUGCCCCUGUGUUGGCUACAUAAUUUUCUUAGCAGUCUGGAGGAAAAUUGAAACCUUGGCAUUUGUCUGACUUUCAGGGUUGCAGAGCUUUACCUGGAAAUCCCUUGACAGGCAUGGUGAUUGAGCUCAAGGAACUAUCCUGCUGUAGCAAUAAAAAUAUCAAUAAAAAUGCACAGAGUUAUUUUU
Long non-coding RNA from Dama dama (fallow deer), 380 nucleotides. RefSeq lists it as uncharacterized. The record is from RefSeq and is a predicted model, not a curated record. The transcript is spliced from 3 exons. NCBI's taxonomy places the organism in Eukaryota, Metazoa, Chordata, Mammalia, Artiodactyla, Cervidae.